CAUGCUUUCACCAUCACAGGCAAAGGACCUGCUUUCCACCGGUCAUCUGAAGUCAUUCUAAUUCUCCGGUUGGAAUGUUAUUCAAGAAAAAUGUAAACAACAUUCUAAAGAUUGAUUCAGUACAUCGUUUGACAUGUUUCUACUGACUGUUACAGAACUUUUGGACAUUUCGUCACGUUAUAGUGGACGCGCUUUGUGACUUUGGAAUUGUUUACCAAACGCGCUAACCAAAGUAGCUAAUUGGACAUAAAUAACUGACAUUUUCGAACAAAUCAAGCAUUUAUUGUGGACCUGGGAUUCCUAGGACCUCAUUCUGAUGAAGUUCAUCAAAGGAAAUCCUAUGAGUGUCAUCUGAUGAAGAUAUUUCAAGCAGCUGUAAGCGGAGGUAUUGUCAAGCAGCGGUGUUGUCGCCGAAACAAAGUCCUCACCCCUCUCUCACUUGAGUAUCUUUCCUAGUUAUUUUCUGGUCUUAUUUUGCUCUUUUGUAGCUUUGGCAAGUGUGUGUUUCCCAUCCCAGUUUGCUCCUCUCCCUGUGGGUUUUACAGAUACUCCCCACCCUGUGGCUGCAACCCUUCUCAUUUAGUCUAUCCUGCGCGCACAACCGAUGUGGAAUUCCUAGUCUUCAGCAGCAUUUGGAACUGCUGAUCUGCGGUCAAUAUGUCUGAGUUCAUCUCAGGCUUUAUUGCCCUUCAGUCCCUACACUUUUUGGCCCUGACGGACACAUGGAUUACCCCAGAGAACACUGCUCCAGUAUGGGAUCACAAUGAUGACAGAACUACGCAAUGAUGGCCUAUCCUGGCCAAACCCUAACCAGGACGAUGCUGGGCCAUUUGCACACCGCCCUAUGGGACUCCCAAUCACGGCCGGUUGUGAUACAGCCUGGAAUUGAACCAGGGCCAACGUCAUGACAGCAUAGAGCCAGGACAAUGCAGGAGUGGCUUCGGGACAAGUCUCUGAAUGUCCUUGAGUGGCCCAGCCAGAGGCCGGACUUGAACCCGAUCGAACAUCUCUGGAGAGACCUGAAAAUAGAUGUGCAGCAACGCUCCCAUCCAACCUGACAGAACUUGAGAGGAUCUGCAGAGAAGAAUGGGAGAAACUCCCCAAAUACAGGUGUGUCAAGCUUGUAGCGUCAUACCCAAGAAGACUUGAGGCUUGAGGUAAUCACUGCCAAAGGUGCUUCAAAAAAGUACUGACUAAAGGGUCUGAAUACUUAAAAUAUAGUAAAUGCUAUAUUUCAUUUUUAUAUAUAUAUUUAUUUUAUUUAUUUUACUACAAUUUCUAAAAACCUGUUUUUGCUUUGUCAUUAUGAGGUAUUGUGUGUAGAUUGAUGAGGGAAAAAAAUAUUUAAUACAUUUUAAAAUAACGCUGUAAGGUUACAAAGUUUGAAAAAAAUGUAUACUUUCCGAAUGUACUGUAUCUGCUUCAAGUUGCCUGACGGAAUACUGGGGCCUUCAUUGGUACCUUCCCUUUGAUUACAGCAAGAGUCUCCACGUUUUUUCGCAUUUAAAAAUACUAUAUGUAACCACUCAAAUUCAAAAAAACUGCUACGAACACGAGAACUAUAUUCCCUUGUCCCCGACUGCAUUUAGACAGGCAGCCCAAUUCAGAUUUUUUUCCCCACACUUUUGACCAAUCACAUAUCUGGUCACAUAAGAAUUAUUUCAGAAAUGAUUCACGCACUUAUCAACCGAACAUCCCUGGUCAUCCCUACUGCCUCUGAUCUGGCAGGCUCACUAAAUGCAAAUGUUAGCUUGUAAAUUAUGUCUGAGUGUUGGAGUUUGCCCCUGGCUUUCCG
Long non-coding RNA from Oncorhynchus tshawytscha (Chinook salmon), 1795 nucleotides. The record is from Ensembl. NCBI's taxonomy places the organism in Eukaryota, Metazoa, Chordata, Actinopteri, Salmoniformes, Salmonidae.